This 492-nucleotide ribosomal RNA is filed under the name uncultured bacterium. RNAcentral describes it as "partial 16S ribosomal RNA". It matches the Rfam family "Bacterial small subunit ribosomal RNA", at positions 29 to 507 of the family's 1533-position model. The record is from RNAcentral.
AGUGAACGCUGGCGGUAGGCCUAACACAUGCAAGUCGAACGGCAGCACAGUAAGAGCUUGCUCUUACGGGUGGCGAGUGGCGGACGGGUGAGGAAUACAUCGGAAUCUACUUUUUCGUGGGGGAUAACGUAGGGAAACUUACGCUAGUACCGCAUACGACCUACGGGUGAAAGCAGGGGAUCUUCGGACCUUGCGCGAUUGAAUGAGCCGAUGUCGGAUUAGCUAGUUGGCGGGGUAAAGGCCCACCAAGGCGACGAUCCGUAGCUGGUCUGAGAGGAUGAUCAGCCACACUGGAACUGAGACACGGUCCAGACUCCUACGGGAGGCAGCAGUGGGGAAUAUUGGACAAUGGGCGCAAGCCUGAUCCAGCCAUACCGCGUGGGUGAAGAAGGCCUUCGGGUUGUAAAGACCUUUUGUUGGGAAAGAAAAGCAGCAGGUUAAUACCCCGCUGUUCUGACGGUACCCAAAGAAUAAGCACCGGCUAACUUCGUG